Molecule: long non-coding RNA, 450 nt
Organism: Phyllostomus discolor (pale spear-nosed bat)
Lineage: Eukaryota; Metazoa; Chordata; Mammalia; Chiroptera; Phyllostomidae
Exons: 2
Source: RefSeq, a predicted model, not a curated record
UCCCUCUUUCUUUAUGCUAUAACCUUUGUGUGUUCGGUUCAAUUCUUUGUCCUCGAUCACUAAGAACCUGGUUACCUGUGCACACCUGUGACAGUUUUUGGCGAGCCAGCCAGCAGAAGACACCGGAGUGACUUAAGCAGUUCCACGUCAAACUGAUGACGCUCCAAGGUUUCCAACCAAUCCCUGAGAACGAUGUCGAAGCUGACCAACAUACAGCAUCUGCGGUGGCCUCAGGAAUUCCUCUUCAACCUCUAGAUAGAAUAGGGUGAGAGUUCCGUGAUUCUCAAUAGGCAGGGUCUACUGUCCAAUCUAAGCCUGAAGCAGCUAUGGAAGACGGAUCUUCAUCCUUCAACAACCCCAAAAAGAUUUUUGAGAACCAUGUCUCUCAGGGAGAAGUUGAGGCAGGAGAUAGUCAGGAAGGAAGCUCCAGAGGCCCCACAGGGCUGAGGU